Molecule: ribosomal RNA, 421 nt
Filed under: uncultured bacterium
Lineage: Bacteria
Description: bacterial SSU rRNA
Rfam family: Bacterial small subunit ribosomal RNA
Source: RNAcentral
UGACGCAGCCACGCCGCGUGCCGGAAGACGGCCCUACGGGUUGUAAACGGCUUUUGAUUGGGAAGAAUUGGCGGGUUUUGAUCUGCCUUGACGGUACCGGUCGAAUAAGCACCGGCUAACUCCGUGCCAGCAGCCGCGGUAAUACGGAGGGUGCAAGCGUUGUCCGGAAUCAUUGGGUGUAAAGGGUGCGUAGGCGGACUUUUAAGUCUGAGGUGAAAUCUUGCCGCUUAACGGUAAAAUGGCCUCCGAUACUGGGAGUCUUGAAUCUGACAGAGGUCGGUGGAAUUCGUAGUGUAGCGGUGAAAUGCAUAGAUAUUACGAAGAACACCAGUGGCGAAGGCGGCCGGCUGGGUCAGUAUUGACGCUAAGGCACGAGAGCGUGGGGAGCGAACAGGAUUAGAUACCCUGGUAGUCCACGCUG